UACAGAGGUCUCAAGCGUUGUUCGGAUUCAUUGGGCGUAAAGGGUGCGUAGGUGGCGCUGUAAGUCGGGUGUGAAAUUUCGGAGCUUAACUCCGAAACUGCAUUCGAUACUGCGGUGCUUGAGGACUGGAGAGGAGACUGGAAUUCAUGGUGUAGCAGUGAAAUGCGUAGAGAUCAUGAGGAAGACCAGUGGCGAAGGCGGGUCUCUGGACAGUUCCUGACAUUGAGGCACGAAGGCCAGGGGAGCAAACGGU
RNAcentral lists this ribosomal RNA (253 nucleotides) under uncultured bacterium. RNAcentral describes it as "partial 16S ribosomal RNA". It matches the Rfam family "Bacterial small subunit ribosomal RNA", at positions 524 to 776 of the family's 1533-position model. The record is from RNAcentral.